AACAACAUAAGGUUAAGCACUGAAUACUGAAUAAUAGAGAACUUGUUCUACGAAUCAAGAAUAUAAAACAAGCUCAGGAUUUAUAUCUGAGGGUCUUUAAGACCAUGAACUAUGUCCUGAGGUUAUUAAGUAUUUCUACUACAACCUUUAACAGUCAUUAGACUAUACAGACCUUAUAUUAGGAUCAGCCCUUCAUACCAUGUAACAUGCACAAACAUCUAAAUGCUAACGCGUACAUAAUCCCCUAUAUUAAGGUUGUUCAUCUCAGUUUGACUUUAGGAUUUCCGCACUAAAGAAAGUUUAGUUUGGAACUAGCUUAUCAAUGGUUCUAGAAUUUUA
Molecule: long non-coding RNA, 339 nt
Filed under: Panax ginseng (ginseng)
Lineage: Eukaryota; Viridiplantae; Streptophyta; Magnoliopsida; Apiales; Araliaceae
Description: long non-coding RNA (PGIN_LNC010455)
Source: RNAcentral